UAAGCCGAUAAAACCCUUGGGUUGUGGUGAUACUGGCAGCGUUCACCUGGUGGAACUGCAGGAGACUGGCGAACUGUAUGCUAUGAAAGCAAUGGAAAAAUCUAUAAUGAUAAAUUGUAACAAGGUUCACCGAGUAUGCACUGAAAGGGAAAUCAUGUCGUUACUCGAUCAUCCUUUUCUUCUGACACUCUAUGCUUCCUUUCAGGUAUU
Long non-coding RNA from Pistacia vera, 210 nucleotides. RefSeq lists it as uncharacterized. Lineage: Eukaryota; Viridiplantae; Streptophyta; Magnoliopsida; Sapindales; Anacardiaceae. The transcript is spliced from 3 exons. The record is from RefSeq and is a predicted model, not a curated record.